RNAcentral lists this ribosomal RNA (529 nucleotides) under uncultured Clostridium sp. Its description in RNAcentral is "bacterial SSU rRNA". It matches the Rfam family "Bacterial small subunit ribosomal RNA", at positions 389 to 933 of the family's 1533-position model. The record is from RNAcentral. Lineage: Bacteria; Bacillati; Bacillota; Clostridia; Eubacteriales; Clostridiaceae.
CAGCACUCCCCCGUUGAGUGAUGAAGGCUUUCGAGUCGUAAAGCUCUUUGAUCAGGGAUGAUAAUGACAGUACCUGAAAAACAAGCCACGGCUAGCUACAUGCCAGCAGCCGCGGUAAUACGUAGGUGGCGAGCGUUGUCCGGAAUUACUGGGCGUAAAGGAUGCGUAGGUGGAUAUUUAAGUGGGAUGUGAAAUCCCCGGGCUCAACCCGGGAACUGCAUUCCAAACUGGAUAUCUGGAGUGCAGGAUAGGAAAGCGGAAUUCCUAGUGUAGCGGUGAAAUGCGUAGAUAUGAGGAGGAACACCAGUGGCGAAGGCGGCUUUCUGGACUGUAACUGACACUGAGGCAUGAAAGCGUGGGUAGCAGACAGGAUUAGAUACCCUGGUAGUCCACGCCGUAAACGAUGGGUACUAGGUGUAGGAGGUAUCGACCCCUUCUGUGCCGUCGUUAACACAAUACGUACCCCGCCUGGGGAGUACGGUCGCUAGACUAAAACUCAAAGAAAUUGACGGUCAUAUGAAUUGACGGG